Camellia sinensis is the source of this 3422-nucleotide non-coding RNA. NCBI's taxonomy places the organism in Eukaryota, Viridiplantae, Streptophyta, Magnoliopsida, Ericales, Theaceae. The record is from RefSeq and is a predicted model, not a curated record.
UGAUUUUUUGGGUGUUAUUCAUGAGAUGUCUGUUUAGGAUGAAUUUCUGUUUUUUGGGGUUUUACUUAUGAUUGUUUAAUAUUAGUAUAAUUAUAGUGUAAUUUAGGGAUUUCUUCACGUUUUCAUAUUUUCUUCAGUUAAUUGUAUAAGCUUGCUUAUUUUAUUAGGGCUUUUCUUUAUUUUUUCUUCUUUCCUUCAAUUAAUUGUUGAGUAUAGUACAUGUUAGGAAUUAAUUGGUACGUCAUUAUAAUCACAGUAUGGCUGCAUUUCCUUAUUUUGAUUUAAUCAUCAACUACAAAGGGAAAGUGGGAAGAGUGUAUGAUGUGGACCCAAAUAUGCAUUGCUACAUUGAUGCCUUGAAGGAUGUAACUGCAACAGUCCUCUCUCACGUUUCUUGUAGUGAAGCAAUAGCAAUCACAUUGCAUUGUGAUAUGCCUGGUACUGACACAAAAAGAUUAAUAGAAAAUGAUCUUGAUGUACUAGACAUGUUUUAUGUGCAAGGUAGGAGUAAAACAAUUAACUUGUAUGUUGACAUAGCAUAUUCUAUUGGAAUGGAAUGAGUAAUGGUGGACUUAAAAGUGAUGUUGGAAAUGAAAAUGGUAGAGGUGGAAAUCAUGGAGUAGAUGCUGUAGAUGUAGAGCAAGACUACCAUACUAUAGAAGUAGAUGAAGAGUACCAUAAGGACAAUGUUUAUGGGUUUAGUGAUGAGGAUAGGGAUUGGAAUGCAACUGCUGAGGAUGAAAACCAAUUAGAUGGCAAUGAGAUUUUAAGUGAUGAUGAUAAUAAGUGCUCAAGUGAAGAUGAUGAUGCUGAACUUAAUGAUUACCAAUCUGGUGAUAAUGAAGUGGCAUAUUCUACUACUGAUGAUGAUUAUGAUGAUGAAGCAGACUGUCUAGAUGAUGAAUAGAUGAGGUUUCCAGCCAUGAAGUAUGAUGGUACCUAAAAUGGGAAAGAGCCAUAUAUAAAUCAAGAUGGAGAAGUUGUAUUGGAAGAAGGGAUGAUUUUUCCAGAAGUGAAUACUUUCAGGGCUACAUUGAGGGACUAUACAGUGCAAACUGGUUUCAAGAUAGUAAGAGACAAAAAUGAGAAGUCUAGAGUAAUAGCCCAUUGUGUUGCUGAGGGCAGCCCAUUAUGUUGCUGAGGGCUGCCCUUGGAGAAUUCAUGCAUCUCCACUUCCAGAUAGGAUCACCUACAAGAUUAAAACCUUAGUACCCACUCACACAUAUAGCAGAAUGAACACAAACACUGAAGCUACAUCAGCUUGGAUUGCUAAAAAAAUGGUUGAAAGUUUUAAGGACAAUCCACACAUGGGCUUAGAUACUAUGCAAGUGAAACUAAAUAAAAUGUUUGGGAUUGAGGCUUCAAGAAUGCAACUGUAUAGAGCCAGAAAGAGGUGCAAGGAGGAGCAGGAGGGUGAUCACGGGAGCCAAUAUGUGUUAUUGCCAACAUAUGCUAAGGAAAUCAACAAAACAAACCCUGGUAGAGUGGUGGUCAUAAAUUAUGACCUACCCUCUACCCUAGUCUCAGAAGAUGAAGAAGAACCAGACCUUACCAUUCCUCAGUAUCCAUUGUUCUAACGAAUUUUCAUAUCAUUUGAUGCAAUGAAAGCAGGGUUCAUUAAUGGAUGUAGGCCAUUCAUAGGGGUAGAUGGUUGUCACUCGAAGGGUCCCUAUGGUGGUGUUUUAAUUUCAGUAGUUGCCUUAGUUGGAAAUAAUGGCUUGUUUCCAUUGGCAUUGGCAGUAGUAGAGGGUGAAUGCAAGGACAGUUGGCCUUUUUUCUUGCACAACUUGAGAACAAUCAUAGAAGAGGCACUACCUUCUAGACCAUGGACCAUCAUGUCUAAUCAACAAAAGGGCCUUGACAAGAUUGUGAGCAACAUUAUACCAGAGGCAACUCAUAGAAGAUGUUGCAUGCACUUAUAUAACACUUUCAGAGCCAAAUUUCCUAGUUUAAUUUUGAGGAAACAAUUUUGAAAGGCAGCAAGGGCCUACAAUCAGAUGGAGUGUGAUCAGGCUAUGCAAGCCAUUAAGGACCUAAACAAUGAUGCUUUCAUUUGGUUGCAGAAGGUUCCAGGAGUGAUCACAUCACAAAUAAUUCAACAAUUGGUUAGGAACUUUGAGAACUCAGCCAAUUUUAACUAUGUUAGAGGGCAUAAGGUACAAGUUGAUGGGUAAGUUUCAGAUGAUGUACCAAAAGGCAAUGCAAUGGAAAUCUAAUGUGACAUUGAAUAUGAAGAAACAGCUUGAGGUCACACUGAAAUGGUCAAGAACUUGCACAGUUGAGUAUACGGGAGGCAAUGAGUAUGAGGUGAAGGAUAAUGAGGGGGUUAAUCACAUUGCCCAUAUUGGGGCUAUGACUUGUGUAUGUAGACAGUGGGAAAUAUUUGGUCUUCCAUGCAAGCAUGUUGUGGCUGCAAUUUCUCACAGUAGGUUAAACAUAGAAGAUUUUGUCCACCCUUACUAUUCUAAGGCAACUUACUUAAGAGCCAAUGGUGGAAUGAUACAUCCCAUCUUAUACUAUAGCAUGUGGACACUUAUACCUAGGGACCCUGUACAACCCCCACCUCUGAAAAGAUUGCCAAAAAGGCCAAGGACUUCAUGAGCCACCAGUUGGAACAAGUCAAAGCACAAGGUCUAGUACCUUGAGAUGCAAAUGGUGCAUGCAAUUUGGACACAACAAGAGAACUUGCCAAAGAGGUCCAGUCAGGGGUGGAGUAUCUACUGCUGGUAAGGGCAGUGGCACAUCCAGUGGUAGAGGCAGUGCUAAAACUACUGGUAGGGGUAGUGGCAGAUCUGUGAGUAGGGGCAAAAGUAGAGGCAAUUCAAGUGGGAGAGGUAGUUCAGCUGAGAGGGGAAAUGCAAGUGGUAGAGGCAAUUCAAGUGGAAGGGACAGUUCAGCUGGAAGGGGAAAUACAACUACAAGAGGAAGUUCAACUGGGAAUGGAAGUUCAAGUAGGAGAGGCAAGGGCAAGGCCAAGCAUGCACAAGAUAUUCCAAGAAGGACCCCUCCAAUGCCUACUCAGUGUGUGACACAGGUCACACAACAUCAUAUGACUUAGCUAAGCUGUUGAUAUUUUGGGUACAAGGAUUAACAUAGGUUGAAGUGGCCAUGAAGUAUUUUAUAAAUACUCAUUUUGGGAAUGUAGAUGAUGCAAUUGCAUAGACUUGACAAAUAUGGUCCAUGGAAUGUUGCCACUUUUGUUUUUUGGUAGUGGCAAUGAAGUAUUUUAUAAAUACUCAUUUUGGGAAUGUAGAUGAUGUAAUUGCAUAGACUUGACAAAUAUGAUCUAUGGAAUGAUGUAACGGAACAAAUCUGAUAGGAAUGGUGUAAGUAAACUAAUUGAACAUAUUUGAGAACAAUCAUGAUGUAAUUAAAUAGUCCUACUUGAUGUUUAGAUGAUGGAAUGGAAUGGUCUUUAUGUU